UUAAGCAUAUCAAUAAGCGGAGGAAAAGAAACUAACAAGGAUUCCCCUAGUAACUGCGAGUGAAGCGGGAAAAGCUCAAAUUUAAAAUCUGGCGGUCUUUGGCUGUCCGAGUUGUAAUCUAGAGAAGUGUUAUCCGUGCUGGACCGUGUACAAGUCUCCUGGAAUGGAGCGUCAUAGAGGGUGAGAAUCCCGUCUUUGACACGGACUGCCAGGACUUUGUGAUGCGCUCUCAAAGAGUCGAGUUGUUUGGGAAUGCAGCUCAAAAUGGGUGGUAAAUUCCAUCUAAAGCUAAAUAUUGGCGAGAGACCGAUAGCGAACAAGUACCGUGAGGGAAAGAUGAAAAGAACUUUGGAAAGAGAGUUAAACAGUACGUGAAAUUGCUGAAAGGGAAACGCUUGAAGUCAGUCGCGUUGUCCAGGGAUCAACCUUGCUUUUGCUUGGUGCACUUUCUGGUUGACGGGUCAGCAUCAAUUUUGAUCAUUGGAAAAAGAUUAGGGGAAUGUGGCAUCUUCGGAUGUGUUAUAGCCCUUGGUUGCAUACAAUGGUUGGGAUUGAGGAACUCAGCACGCCGCAAGGCCGGGUUUUUAACCACGUACGUGCUUAGGAUGCUGGCAUAAUGGCUUUAAUCGACCCGUCUUGAAACACGGACCAAGGAGUCUAACAUGCCUGCGAGUGUUUGGGUGGAAAACCCGAGCGCGUAAUGAAAGUGAAAGUUGAGAUCCCUGUCGUGGGGAGCAUCGACGCCCGGACCAGACCUUUUGUGACGGUUCCGCGGUAGAGCAUGUAUGUUGGGACCCGAAAGAUGGUGAACUAUGCCUGAAUAGGGUGAAGCCAGAGGAAACUCUGGUGGAGGCUCGUAGCGAUUCUGACGUGCAAAUCGAUCGUCAAAUUUGGGUAUAGGGGCGAAAGACUAAUCGAACCAUCUAGUAGCUGGUUCC
This 938-nucleotide ribosomal RNA is filed under the name Cortinarius chrysma. RNAcentral's name for it is "eukaryotic LSU rRNA". It matches the Rfam family "Eukaryotic large subunit ribosomal RNA", at positions 34 to 958 of the family's 3401-position model. The record is from RNAcentral. Lineage: Eukaryota; Fungi; Basidiomycota; Agaricomycetes; Agaricales; Cortinariaceae.